ACUAAGGCUUUUCUGAAAGCCAACUCUUUAUCUACUAUGAUAUUUCU
This is a non-coding RNA of Mustela putorius furo (domestic ferret), 47 nucleotides long. NCBI's taxonomy places the organism in Eukaryota, Metazoa, Chordata, Mammalia, Carnivora, Mustelidae. The record is from Rfam.